GACCUUACUUCAGACUGGCCAGGUUUGAGGAGAUGCAAUGUGAACAUCUGACUCACCUGGAAGGUCUGCUGGAUGGAGACAAGGGAGGGACAGAAGGAGGUUGAGGACAACCUGGGAAAGAGAUGUUGCCUGACCCGUGGAGUUAUUCCAGCACUUUGUGUCUAUCUAGGGGUACAACCAUUGGAAGCAAUUGAUGGAUGUUUUUUCAUACAAAGCCAGUUUCAAUGCCCCUGGAUCAGUGCCUGGAGCAGCACAAUGACAGCAUUACAGACAUUUGUUUCUUCUGAUAAAAGACUUUCAAUUAUUGCCACAAUUUAUCGGCCAUGUGGAACUCUGAGUCUGACCACUUCCUGCACACAUUGAAGAGAAGUAAGGCUGAGAAUUUACAACAUUCCUGGGAACAACUACCACUCUCUUUUAUACUGGAAUAAAACUGCCUUUGCAAUUAUUUUUGCAGUGCCUUCACCGUGUACUUCCUCUGCAAUGUUUCCAGUCAUUUUUUACAACGUACAGCUCUUCAGGAUACCAAUUCUCUUCCUGUCAUUCUCAGCCCUCACUGUGUAAUGAAGCUGAAGAUUAAGAAAUCCAUGAUUUUCAGCUGAUGAGCUGAUGUACACAAUGAUCCACUAAUUUGUUUAAGUGCCUCCGAAUUUUCCACUUUGGUAGAAUUUACUUUUAAGCAAAAUCGAUUGUGCAUUCUCUACCCACAGGGAUUCCCUGUACCAAUCAAUGACCAGGGAACUUAGUUGCAAGCUGGCAGAAGUAAGCUAUGGAAUUUAUUGGAGUUAAGCUGGCUUGACUUCCCUGGGUAUUAGUUUGCUGGUAAUAUAGAGCCAAGUCAUAUGCAUUUCAGCUACCAUGCUGUCAUGCUUUUAGUUUCCAUUGGAAUACCCGUUCGACUGCUCAGUCAGCAAUGGCGCCCUGGGAUAUUGUGGAAAUGCUUGGUUUAGGUACCUGAUUAUUGAAUAUGAGACAGAGGUAAUGUGUUUCUGAAAUUCCAGUCACCAGGGGAGUAAUUCUGCAGCUCCAAAAAACCCAAAUAUAAAUUAUUAAAAAUCAAGUGAUGCAAGAUAAUGCCACCAACAAAUAACUUAUUCAAGUUUUGAAUAUAUUAGAUAUUUCACAGGCUGAGUAUUUAUCAUGUUGCAUCUUUACAGGACUUUGGUUUGGAGUUUGGUGUGUAAUACUGGAUGAAUUUAAAAGAGAGUUUGAGAGAGCUCUAGGGGCUAGUGGAAUCAAGGGAUCUGGGGAGAAGGCAGGCAUGGGUUACUGAUUGUAGAUGAUCACAAUGAAUGGCGGUGCUGGCUCGAAGGGCCAAAUGGCUUCCUCCUGCACCUAUUUUCCAUGUUUCUAUGUUUCUAUGUUCUGGUUGACACAUUGCAGGAAGGUUGUGGAUGCUUUGGAAAUA
Long non-coding RNA from Leucoraja erinaceus (little skate), 1408 nucleotides. RefSeq lists it as uncharacterized. NCBI's taxonomy places the organism in Eukaryota, Metazoa, Chordata, Chondrichthyes, Rajiformes, Rajidae. The transcript has 3 exons. The record is from RefSeq and is a predicted model, not a curated record.